GUGUCAGCAGCCGCGGUAAGACGAACCUUGCUAACGUUAUUCGGAAUUACUGGGCUUAAAGGGUGCGUAGGCGGUGCAGCAAGUCGGGUGUGAAAGCCCUCAGCUCAACUGAGGAAUUGCGCCCGAAACUGCUGUGCUUGAGGAAUACAGAGGUAUGCGGAACUUAGGGUGGAGCGGUGAAAUGCGUUGAUAUCCUAAGGAACACCGGUGGCGAAAGCGGCAUACUGGGUAUUUUCUGACGCUCAUGCACGAAAGCUAGGGUAGCGAACGGGAUUAGAAACCCCCGUAGUCC
RNAcentral lists this ribosomal RNA (292 nucleotides) under uncultured bacterium. RNAcentral describes it as "partial 16S ribosomal RNA". It matches the Rfam family "Bacterial small subunit ribosomal RNA", at positions 505 to 796 of the family's 1533-position model. The record is from RNAcentral.